Canis lupus familiaris (dog) is the source of this 107-nucleotide non-coding RNA. Lineage: Eukaryota; Metazoa; Chordata; Mammalia; Carnivora; Canidae. The record is from Rfam.
GUGCUCGCUUUGACAACAUAUAUACUAAAAUUAGCAGGAUACAGAUAAGAUUAGCAUGGCCUCUGCAUAAGAAUGACAUGCAAAAAGUGCAUAAACAGCCAUUAUGG